RNAcentral lists this ribosomal RNA (282 nucleotides) under uncultured Prevotella sp. Its description in RNAcentral is "partial 16S ribosomal RNA". It matches the Rfam family "Bacterial small subunit ribosomal RNA", at positions 355 to 634 of the family's 1533-position model. Lineage: Bacteria; Pseudomonadati; Bacteroidota; Bacteroidia; Bacteroidales; Prevotellaceae. The record is from RNAcentral.
UGAGGAAUAUUGGUCAAUGGGCGAGAGCCUGAACCAGCCAAGUAGCGUGCAGGAUGACGGCCCUAUGGGUUGUAAACUGCUUUUAUAAGGGAAUAAAGUGGGUCUCGUGAGACUUUUUGCAUGUACCCUAUGAAUAAGGACCGGCUAAUUCCGUGCCAGCAGCCGCGGUAAUACGGAAGGUCCGGGCGUUAUCCGGAUUUAUUGGGUUUAAAGGGAGCGUAGGCCGGAGAUUAAGCGUGUUGUGAAAUGUAGACGCUCAACGUCUGCACUGCAGCGCGAACU